UAUGUCCUCGCACACCUCACAGGCUUACACUUGACGACCGCGGAGAAGGAAAAGCCCGCUCGAACUACUUGGCUCCCUCGAAUUUGGCCCAGGCCCGCGACUCUGCUGCUGUUUCUACGACGAGGACGCGGGCCUUCCACGUGAAGCCCACCGAAAUCGUCCAUGUCACCGCCGGCGGAUGGCGAGUCGGCGACGCGCCGCCGCCCCUCCCUCCCGCCCCGCCGUCGGCCGAAUCAAUACAAUAAUCCGUCUCAUCCUCGCUCCCUUCCUCCCACAUACUGGCCAUUGCGCGCGGCGGCGGUACGGUAACUGAUGCGUGGCCUUCAGAUCAUGUUGCCUGCUUACCUCUACAGGAAAGAGUUUCAGCAAUGCCUGCUGCUCCAUCCACGUCAUACGUAGCGUCUGAACCUCUUUCCCUUGUUGGCAUGGACACUGCAUCCGUCUCCUUGCCCCAGAGAGAAACUAUCACCGAGUUCAUCUUCAUCAGCAAAUUCUCUUCGUACCUCACAGACCAUGAGUGGAGCUGUAUUGUUCGUGCUGCUGGCACCCCAGUCAAAUGUUAUAAGAGUAGUUCUACAGGUUACAUCUGAAAGGCUGAAGGGUAAAGUUCUUCUUCCUAUCUUCAGUAAAAAAAAGCACUGGUGUCUUGAAGAAUCAUUUGUUAAAGCCAUAUAUAGGUGCUGGCAUUUGAUUUGAUUUGCAUCGAUUGGAAUUCCAACACUAAAACUGGACAAAUAUUUCUAUCCGUAUCAAUGGUGUUUCGUCUAGUAGGUGGAUGUUUUGGCUCUUCAAGCUUGACGAAAUGCAUUUGGCAUCUAUAGCAAGAGGAAAUCCAGAGGGUGCUGUAAACAGCUACAAGAAAACAUUGUCCAAUGUAGCCACUGAGGUUGCGGUCAUGCGGAGAAACACAAUUGCAAGCUACACUGGAGAUUCCAGAAGAGAGGCUUUCACUUUGUGGACAUUGGAACAACUUACACAACUAUAAGGGCAUUCUUGAAACCAGCAUUGUAAUUUGUACCACAUUCCCUCCCUCUUAAUGAAAAACGUGCUCAGGCACGAUCGCGAAAAAAAAAAUUGUACCACAUUCCUAACAACAGUUGACUAGCUAUUCCCAUCGAAUGUUUUUCUUCAGAAAA
Panicum hallii is the source of this 1136-nucleotide long non-coding RNA. RefSeq lists it as uncharacterized. The record is from RefSeq and is a predicted model, not a curated record. Lineage: Eukaryota; Viridiplantae; Streptophyta; Magnoliopsida; Poales; Poaceae. The transcript is spliced from 4 exons.